This 722-nucleotide ribosomal RNA is filed under the name uncultured bacterium. Its description in RNAcentral is "bacterial SSU rRNA". It matches the Rfam family "Bacterial small subunit ribosomal RNA", at positions 28 to 748 of the family's 1533-position model. The record is from RNAcentral.
GAUUAACGCUAGCGGCAGGCUAAUACAUGCAAGUCGAGGGGUAACAGGGUAGCAAUACCGCUGACGACCGGCGCACGGGUGAGUAACACGUAUGUAACCUACCUAUAACUGGGGAAUAGCCUUCCGAAAGGAAGAUUAACACCGCAUAAUAUCACAGAACGGCAUCGUUUUGUGAUCAAACCUCCGGGGGUUAUAGAUGGACAUGCGUAACAUUAGCUAGUUGGUGAGGUAACGGCUCACCAAGGCGACGAUGUUUAGGGGGUCUGAGAGGAUGAUCCCCCACACUGGUACUGAGACACGGACCAGACUCCUACGGGAGGCAGCAGUAAGGAAUAUUGGACAAUGGGGGCAACCCUGAUCCAGCCAUGCCGCGUGAAGGAUGAAGGCGCUCUGCGUCGUAAACUUCUUUUAGUUGGGAAAAAUUGUUGGGUUUCUACCCGACUUGAUUGUACCAAAAGAAUAAGGACCGGCUAACUUCGUGCCAGCAGCCGCGGUAAUACGAAGGGUCCAAGCGUUAUCCGGAUUUAUUGGGUUUAAAGGGUGCGUAGGCGGAUUAUUAAGUCAGUGGUGAAAGCUCCAUGCUUAACAUGGAAAUUGCCAUUGAUACUGAUGAUCUUGAGUACACUUGAAGUGGGCGGAAUAUGUCAUGUAGAGGUGAAAUUCUUAGAGAUGACAUAGAACACCGAUUGCGAAGGCAGCUCACUAAAUUGUAACUGACGCUG